Molecule: ribosomal RNA, 253 nt
Filed under: uncultured bacterium
Lineage: Bacteria
Description: partial 16S ribosomal RNA
Rfam family: Bacterial small subunit ribosomal RNA
Source: RNAcentral
UACAGAGGGUGCGAGCGUUAAUCGGAAUUACUGGGCGUAAAGCGUGCGUAGACGGUUAUGUAAGUCGGGUGUGAAAGCCCCGGGCUCAACCUGGGAAUUGCAUUCGAGACUGCAUAGCUAGGAUGCGGAAGAGGGAAGUGGAAUUUCCGGUGUAGCGGUGAAAUGCGUAGAUAUCGGAAGGAACAUCAGUGGCGAAAGCGGGUCUCUGGGCAGUAACUGACGCUGAGGAGCGAAAGCGUGGGGAGCGAACAGG